Molecule: long non-coding RNA, 922 nt
Filed under: Rattus norvegicus (Norway rat)
Lineage: Eukaryota; Metazoa; Chordata; Mammalia; Rodentia; Muridae
Description: long non-coding RNA NONRATT005720
Source: RNAcentral
CACUCCACAGCCCAGGGCUUGAGAAGGACGGUGAGCUGUGAACACCAGGCUUCUUUCACAGGACUCUUCUCCAAGAAGGCUUUGUUCUUCUCUGUCCUCGGGCACCUUGCAUGCCAUGGGUACCACCAUCGUCUGUUUCCUGGAACUGUAUGGUCUUGCAUUUCCUCAGACAGUUGAAAUCUGAUGUCUGUAGAGGUUUUGGCCAAGGCUGGGUGGGUGUGGUGGUGUACACUUGCAACCCCAGCACUCUCAAUGGCGGAGACAGCAGUGUCCACAUGACUGGGAUCCUGGAGAGAACAGACAAUGACUGGGCCCGGCUUGGUGUCAGGGUUCAAAGGUUUAAUUCCUUUAUACAAGAUUUCUCUCGUCUUCUGAGACAGAGUUUCUCUGUAGCCCAGGCUGGCCUCAGACUUGAUCCUUCUACCCUAGCCCUUCAAGUGCUAGGAUUCCAAGAACGUACCUCCAUGCUUUGCCCCGCACUAGAUUUCUGAGUUUUCUAAAACCCAACUUGCUGAGUUUGUAAGCCAAGUAGACUUUGCACCUGCCCCCACCCUUUGGUCUGUGAAAACAUUGUACAGUCUGUCUGGGCCCGGGUCCCAGAUUUACAAGGUGAAGGAAUGCACUUGAUAGCAUUGCUUCCAGUGGGCGUAGCCCAAGUGCAUCAUCGUCUCACACCAGCUCUGGAAACGAAGAGGCUCUUUGUUUACAAGGUGCCAGGUGUCGAGCUAUGUUGAGCACACAGGUGUGGACACCCACAGGCACUAUCACACGUACGUGCUGGUACUGUGUACAGACUGACUAGAGUAAGCCCUGGGAGACUUGCGUCACUUCCAGGUGGGGAGAUCCUCUCACAUCCUUAUCUUGACCAUCUUGUCUGAUGGAGGGAGGAUGUUCAGUGCACGGCAGUCACUGCUGCUCUUUG